Molecule: ribosomal RNA, 374 nt
Filed under: Salmonella enterica
Lineage: Bacteria; Pseudomonadati; Pseudomonadota; Gammaproteobacteria; Enterobacterales; Enterobacteriaceae
Also listed under: 2 other names
Description: bacterial SSU rRNA
Rfam family: Bacterial small subunit ribosomal RNA
Source: RNAcentral
AAAUUGAAGAGUUUGAUCAUGGCUCAGAUUGAACGCUGGCGGCAGGCCUAACACAUGCAAGUCGAACGGUAACAGGAAGCAGCUUGCUGCUUCGCUGACGAGUGGCGGACGGGUGAGUAAUGUCUGGGAAACUGCCUGAUGGAGGGGGAUAACUACUGGAAACGGUGGCUAAUACCGCAUAACGUCGCAAGACCAAAGAGGGGGACCUUCGGGCCUCUUGCCAUCAGAUGUGCCCAGAUGGGAUUAGCUUGUUGGUGAGGUAACGGCUCACCAAGGCGACGAUCCCUAGCUGGUCUGAGAGGAUGACCAGCCACACUGGAACUGAGACACGGUCCAGACUCCUACGGGAGGCAGCAGUGGGGAAUAUUGCACAA